Molecule: ribosomal RNA, 254 nt
Filed under: uncultured bacterium
Lineage: Bacteria
Description: partial 16S ribosomal RNA
Rfam family: Bacterial small subunit ribosomal RNA
Source: RNAcentral
UACGUAGGGGCCAAGCGUUGUCCGGAUUUAUUGGGCGUAAAGAGCUCGUAGGCGGUUGGGUAAGUCGGGUGUGAAAACUCCAGGCUCAACUUGGAGAUGCCACCCGAUACUGCUCUGACUUGAGUUCGGUAGGGGAGUGGGGAAUUCCUGGUGUAGCGGUGAAAUGCGCGGAUAUCAGGAGGAACACCGGUGGCGAAGGCGCCACUCUGGGCCGAAACUGACGCUGAGGAGCGAAAGCGUGGGUAGCAAACAGG